AGGAGGAACAGCCCCAGUGGCGGGGCCAGCUCUAGAAACCUGGAUUCAGCUCUGGCAGGAACUCCGUCUGCAGGGCCUGGAGGCUCCGGGGCGGG
Molecule: non-coding RNA, 95 nt
Organism: Canis lupus familiaris (dog)
Lineage: Eukaryota; Metazoa; Chordata; Mammalia; Carnivora; Canidae
Source: Rfam